Capsicum annuum is the source of this 683-nucleotide long non-coding RNA. RefSeq lists it as uncharacterized. The record is from RefSeq and is a predicted model, not a curated record. Lineage: Eukaryota; Viridiplantae; Streptophyta; Magnoliopsida; Solanales; Solanaceae. The transcript has 2 exons.
UUUGCUUCCAACCUUAUCUACUCCAAAUCAAUGAUUAUGUUCUCUUAUCGAGUCAAUGAUUAAAAAAAAAGGUUGAAAGCAAAACACUUUUGCCCAGUGUUGCACUAUUAUUUUGUCGAUUCCUACUUAGUAAAUAUUUAUACUACUUGCUUUCGAUAUACCCUCUUCUUUGGUUUUAGUUUUUUCUAGCUAUCUUAGUUUUGAGAAUUGUUUGCGUUAGGCAGAAGCUUCUCAUUUUCAUUUUUACUGCCACCAGCGAACUGUUAUUCGACCAUCAUCACCACCACCACCAUUGGUUCUCUCACUGUUGAUGAUCCUCGCCAUUUUUCUGUUUUUGCUUCCUCUUAAACAUGAAUCUUUCACUUCCUGUAGGUGUGGACAACAGGAACAAUGGGGGAACUGAGCCCGGUUGUCAAAAUUGAUGGACGUAUAGUUGGUGAUGGUCGAGUGGGAGCUAUGACACAGAGAUUGCAAAAUUCUUACAAGAAUCUGGCAAAGGAUUCAGGAGUGCCUAUACCAACCUAUCACAAGAGCUAAAUUACAUACUUUCCAGGUUCACCUUUAACCUAUUUGUUCAUAUGAUAUGAGGUGUCCAAAACAACAGAGAAUUUUGGAUAGAUUUUAUUUAAAAGAAUUGACUAAACAUAGGAGUAAUAAUUAAAUUCGAAUCAAAGUUGUUCAAA